Molecule: ribosomal RNA, 476 nt
Filed under: uncultured bacterium
Lineage: Bacteria
Description: bacterial SSU rRNA
Rfam family: Bacterial small subunit ribosomal RNA
Source: RNAcentral
ACGAACGCUGGCGGCAUGGAUUAGGCAUGCAAGUCGAACGGGAUCUGAAAUAUCCAAGUAGCAAUAUGAGGUUAUUUCAGUGAGAGUGGCGAAAGGGUGAGGAACACGUGAGUUACCUGCCCCUAAGUUUGGAAUAACCUUCCGAAAGGAGGGCUAAUGCCGAAUGUGGAUUACCCGUAAGGGGGACAUCUAAAGGUUUACUGCUUAGGGAUGGGCUCGCGUCCUAUCAGCUUGUUGGUGAGGUAAUGGCUUACCAAGGCAAUGACGGGUAGCUGGUCUGAGAGGAUGGUCAGCCACACUGGGACUGAGACACUGCCCAGACUCCUGCGGGAGGCUGCAGUCGAGAAUCUUCCGCAAUGGGCGCAAGCCUGACGGAGCAAUGCCGCGUGAAGGAUGAAGGUCUUCGGAUUGUAAACUUCUGUCACUGGGGACGAAUAAAUGACGGUACCCGGAGAGGAAGUCACGGCUAACUACGU